GGUACAAAUUGUUUAACCAAAACUGCUGCAACAACAACAAUUGGUGCGCGAACUACUGCCACUGCUGUUGUUGUUGUUGUUGUUGCUGCUGUUGUUGUUGUUGUUGAUGAUGAUGUUGUUGUUGCUGCUGCUGUUGUUGUUGAACCAGUUGCUGUUGUUGCCGCAGUUGAACCGGGCGUUGUUGUUGAAGCUGUUGUAGAUGCAGUCGUUGUAUUUCUUACAGGUGUGGUGCUUGUAAGAUGUGCUGUGGUUGCGUUUGUAGGAGUAGUGAUCAUUGGUGUUGUAGCGUUCACAGGUGUAGUUGAAACUGUUGUAGACGCAGUAGUUGUAUUUGUUACAGGUGUGGUGCUUGUAAGAUGUGCUGUGGUUCCGUUUGUAGGAGUAGUGAUCAUUGGUGUUGUAGCGUUCACAGGUGUAGUUGAAGCUGUUGUAGACGCAGUAGUUGUAUUUGUUACAGGUGUGGUGCUUGUAAGAUUUGCUGUGCUUGCAUUUGUAGGGGUAGUGAUCAUUGGUGUUGUAGCAUUCACAGGUGUAGUUGAAGCUGUUGUAGAUGCAGUAGUUGUAUUUAUUACAGGUGUGGUGCUUGUAAGAUUUGCUGUGGUUGCGUUUGUAGGGGUAGUGAUCAUUGGUGUUGUAGUGUUCAUAGGUGUAGUUGAAGCUGUUGUAGACACUGUAGUUGUAUUUGUUACAGGUGUGGUGUUUGUAAGAUUUGCUGUGGUUGCGUUUGUAGGGGUAGUGAUCAUUGGUGUUGUAGUGUUCAUAGGUGUAGUUGAAGCUGUUGUAGACACUGUAGUUGUAUUUGUUACAGGUGUGGUGUUUGUAAGAUUUGCUGUGGUUGCGUUUGUAGGGGUAGUAAUCAUUGGUGUUGUAGUGUUCACAGGUGUAGUUGAAGCUGUUGUAGACACAGUAGUUGUAUUUGUUACAGGUGUGGUGCUUGUAAGAUUUUCUGUGGUUGCGUUUGUAGGGGUAGUAAUCAUUGGUGUUGUAGUGUUCACAGGUGUAGUUGAAGCUGUUGUAGACACAGUAGUUGUAUUUGUUACAGGUGUGGUGCUUGUAAGAUUUUCUGUGGUUGCGUUUGUAGGGGUAGUGAUCAUUGUAGUGUUCACAGGUGUAGUUGAAGCUGUUGUAGACACAGUAGUUGUAUUUGUUACAGGUGUGGUGCUUGUAAGAUUUUCUGUGGUUGCGUUUGUAGGGGUAGUGAUCAUUGGUGUUGUAGUGCCCACAGUUGUAGUUGAAGCCACUGUAGAUGCCAAGAAAUGAAGAGGUGGUGCUUUAACAAGCAAUUUUGAGAUAUUAUGAAUUUAAAACAUGAUCAUAUUAAAUAUUUCUUACCUGGGUCACUGACAACAACUUUGGUAAUGUUGAAGGCUGUUAUGUUUGGAGCUGCAUUGAUCAAAACAUUUGCAAUCUCAGUGUCAUUUGGCACUGAUGUAGAUGCGAACCGAAUGUCAAUGUUACUGAUGAUGGAUCCAUUUCUGCAAAAUCAAUAAACCAUAUAUUGUUUUACUUGCAUUAAUUCAUUAUGUAUUAUAUGUAGUCAUCAAACAAAAAAUAAAUUACCGGAAUCCAGUCACUUCCAUUGAGAAGUAUGAAGAAAAUGUUGUCCUGUAGAUAGGUUCAAGCUGCAGAAACACACACAUUAAAAGAUCUGUGAGUACAUAUGGUGAAUGCAUGCAUUUCACCAUGAGUUCAAGAGAGAAAACUUACUGUUGUCACUAUCAGUGAUGCUCUAUUUAUAAAUGCUGGAGAUGAUGAGUUCAGCAUGUCAGCUGUAAAUAUCUCUCCAACAGAUGUGAACUGCAACACCUUUGUUAUAACUGGCUCAGCAGUUGUAGUUGUUACAGGUGUAGAAAACAUAGGAAGAAAAAAGGAAUUGAAAUCAAAUCACUCAUCUCAAUCUUAUUUAAAGGAGUCUUUCUGAUGUUUAGCACAUUAAAUAAUUAUAUUGUUUUUUUGAGAAAGAGAGACUAAUGAAAUAAAUCACUACACAGAUGUUCAUGCUACGAACAAUAAUACAUUCUAUAUGAUAUUAAAUAUGAAUAGGUAUGUUGCCUGGUUUAAAAAUAAACCACUUCAGAA
Long non-coding RNA from Oreochromis niloticus (Nile tilapia), 2079 nucleotides. The record is from Ensembl. NCBI's taxonomy places the organism in Eukaryota, Metazoa, Chordata, Actinopteri, Cichliformes, Cichlidae.